CACAAGGGAAGGCGAGAAGAAAAAGAGGUAAGAACGGUAACCAAGCCGCGGAAGAAGCCAUGGCUGGACAAUCUCCCGCUGCUCGGAAACCUGAAAGAGGAAUAAUGCUUCAAAACCUUUUGGCAAUUAGUAGGUUCUUUCCAUGAGGGACUUCUAUGCACAUUCUAUAAUCACGACGACUACUUAACUUCUCUUCCAUGCAUGCGAUAUGCGCCGGCAUUCCGAUGUCAGGAUGGUCGAUGAAAGGGCAUCUGCCAAGCUUGUCUGGCCGAAAAAACCGUCACCUAGUCGGUCCAUUAGAUGAAAACUAUCGAGAGAAUGAGAAUGUACAUAUGUUCCUCCAGACCGUUGAGGGAGAUCACUUGCCCAAGCCCGUCAUAUUUCACAUUGUAAUUAGUUUCUUAGAAUUGUAUUUGAUUGACACUGUUGUUUCUGAUCUCUCUUCUUGAUAAGAGUAUGGUCGCAGAAGCUUCACAUC
Rhodamnia argentea is the source of this 478-nucleotide long non-coding RNA. RefSeq lists it as uncharacterized. The record is from RefSeq and is a predicted model, not a curated record. The transcript is spliced from 2 exons. Lineage: Eukaryota; Viridiplantae; Streptophyta; Magnoliopsida; Myrtales; Myrtaceae.